UACGUAGGGGGCAAGCGUUGUCCGGAUUUAUUGGGCGUAAAGAGCGUGUAGGCGGCUAGAUAGGUCCGUUGUGAAAACUCGAGGCUCAACCUCGAGACGUCGAUGGAAACCAUCUGGCUAGAGUCCGAAAGAGGAGAGUGGAAUUCCUGGUGUAGCGGUGAAAUGCGCAGAUAUCAGGAAGAACACCCGUGGCGAAGGCGGCUCUCUGGUACGUGACUGACGCUGAGACGCGAAGGCCAGGGGAGCAAACGGG
This 253-nucleotide ribosomal RNA is filed under the name uncultured bacterium. Its description in RNAcentral is "partial 16S ribosomal RNA". It matches the Rfam family "Bacterial small subunit ribosomal RNA", at positions 524 to 776 of the family's 1533-position model. The record is from RNAcentral.